Long non-coding RNA from Mytilus californianus (California mussel), 480 nucleotides. RefSeq lists it as uncharacterized. The transcript has 3 exons. NCBI's taxonomy places the organism in Eukaryota, Metazoa, Mollusca, Bivalvia, Mytilida, Mytilidae. The record is from RefSeq and is a predicted model, not a curated record.
CAAUACCAAUUGCAUUUUUGGAAGAUCCGAAAAAUAUACUUUGGAUGACAGCAUUAGCCAUACUUAUACUCGCCUUUACUAUUGGUGUGUGUAUAUUCUGUACAGAUUUUUGUAAAACAAAAAGAAGAAGACCACUUCCAGCGAAACGUCCAAAAACAGUAAAAAUAUUUAAUAAAAUUGCUGCAAAAGAAGCCCCAAAAAGAACAGCUGAACUAGAGGACAGCACAACUGCAUUUUCAGCUAUGCCUCAUCGUAAGCCCAGUGAUUUGUGGAAUUUUUGGUCUACUGAUGGCUGGUCAAUAUCUUCCGGAGACUCACCAGAUAAUUCUGAAAAUUUAACAACUAGUACUGAGAAUACAAAUUUGUCCUGGAACUUAAUACAAAGUUCAAAUACAGGAGAUGCAACUCUGUAUGUUUAUUUAUAUGUUUCAAUAAUUACAUCUGAAAAAACGACUAGGCAAGCAUUACGAAAAUCAUUUU